ACUGCACGAACGUGCGAUAAGGGGACUCCGAGUGCGAGGGCAUACAGUCCUCGCUAUUGUGUACCGUAGGGUGGUACACGACCAAGAGCUGGGCAAGACCGGUGCCAGCCGCCGCGGUAAUACCGGCAGCUCGAGUGAUGGCCGAUUUUAUUGGGCCUAAAGCGUCCGUAGCUGGCCCUGCAAGUCCGUCGGGAAAUCCACUCGCCUAACGAGUGGGCGUCCGGCGGAAACUACAGGGCUUGGGACCGGAAGACUUGAGGGGUACGUCUGGGGUAGGAGUGAAAUCCUGUAAUCCUGGACGGACCGCCGAUAGCGAAAGCACCUCAAGACGACGGAUCCGACAGUGAGGGACGAAAGCUAGGGUCUCGAACCGGAUUAGAUACCCGGGUAGUCCUAGCUGUAAACGAUGUUCGCUAGAUGUGGCACAGGCUACGUGCCUGUGCUGUGUCGUAGGGAAGCCGAGAAGCGAACCGCCUGGGAAGUACGUCCGCAAGGAUGAAACUUAAAGGAAUUGGCGGGGGAGCACA
RNAcentral lists this ribosomal RNA (527 nucleotides) under uncultured prokaryote. RNAcentral describes it as "bacterial SSU rRNA". It matches the Rfam family "Archaeal small subunit ribosomal RNA", at positions 354 to 880 of the family's 1478-position model. The record is from RNAcentral.